Molecule: ribosomal RNA, 305 nt
Filed under: uncultured bacterium
Lineage: Bacteria
Description: bacterial SSU rRNA
Rfam family: Bacterial small subunit ribosomal RNA
Source: RNAcentral
GCCUACGGGGGGCAGCAGUAGUUAAUAUUUCUCAAUUGUUUCCCCCCUGAAGCAGCAACGCCGCGUGGAGGAUGAAGGUUUUCGGAUUGUAAACUCCUUUUGUUAGAGAAGAUAAUGACGGUAUCUAACGAAUAAGCACCGGCUAACUCCGUGCCAGCAGCCGCGGUAAUACGGAGGGUGCAAGCGUUACUCGGAAUCACUGGGCGUAAAGAGCGCGUAGGCGGGAUAGCAAGUCAGAUGUGAAAUCCUAUGGCUUAACCAUAGAACUGCAUUUGAAACUGUUAUUCUAGAGUAUGGGAGAGGUA